Equus asinus (donkey) is the source of this 563-nucleotide long non-coding RNA. The record is from Ensembl. Lineage: Eukaryota; Metazoa; Chordata; Mammalia; Perissodactyla; Equidae.
CCGCAACUUCCCCACUGGUUCUGAUUGGAAGACUAAGGGAGAGGUCGCAGAAGCUCCCUGCCGAGCCCAGAGGCACAAAGAUAACAGAAUAUUAAACGAGGAAAGACUGGACACCGCAACUUCCCCACUGGUUCUGAUUGGAAGACUAAGGGAGAGGUCGCAGAAGAUCAAUACAACAAAGUUCUCUUCCCUGAACCUGGGCAAAGAGUUCAACGCAUUCUUCCCGAGGUCAUGAGGAGCUCAUCUAGCUGCUUUCUGGAAAGGCUGUGGCAAGAUUCAGCUCUCAUUCCAUCAGAUAUGCUGGCUGCUGUUGGUUUGGAGGAAGUUCUACACCGAGACUAGACUGAUGGAUGGAAUUUAAUCACUCCUAAAGAGGAAAGAAUCUAUGGUGCCACCUAGAGAACAGGAUUCUUGCUAUUCAAAGUGGUGGGGGGUGCCAGGGUUCACACCACGCCCUGGGUGCUCCCUGCCGAGCCCAGAGGCACAAAGAUAACAGAAUAUUAAACGAGGAAAGACUGGACACCGCAACUUCCCCACUGGUUCUGAUUGGAAGACUAAGGGAG